RNAcentral lists this ribosomal RNA (626 nucleotides) under uncultured fungus. RNAcentral's name for it is "eukaryotic LSU rRNA". The stretch from base 197 to 353 matches the Rfam family "5.8S ribosomal RNA". Lineage: Eukaryota; Fungi. The record is from RNAcentral.
UCCGUAGGUGAACCUGCGGAAGGAUCAUUAUUGAUUUGGGUUUUGCACACACCAGUGCUUCUCCCUUGCUGUACCUUGCUGUACACCGCAAAAAAAUACUCUUGUGAACUCGUACUACCCAAUUUUUACAAAUAAUAGAAGCCUUAUGUUAUUUUUGUGUCCCCUCGCAGGGCUCAAUCAUUUAUUAAUUAUACAUAACUUUUAACAACGGAUCUCUUGGCUCUCGCAUCGAUGAAGAACGCAGCGAAAUGCGAUAAGUAGUGUGAAUUGCAGAAUUCAGUGAAUCAUCGAAUCUUUGAACGCACAUUGCGCUCUCUCGGAUUUAUCCAGGGAGCAUGCCUGUUUGACAACAUGCACAAAUGGUACAUAGCAGUAGCCUUUGAUGGUGUUGAUAGCUAAACCAACAACUGGGAGUUUUUCUUUGAGUGUUCAUUCAAAGUCUCUUGAAAUCAGUCAUGUGGGUCUACUUAUGAUCAAGCCCUGAUGUAAUAGAAUAUGUUUCAUCGGAGUGUCAUGAGCGGAACCUUUUUGUAGAAAUACAAUCUUGGCAAGGUUGGUUGGUCAAAUCCAGGGGGUAGGGGAUUACCCGGCUGGAACUUAAGGCAUAUCAAUAAGGCGGGGAGGGG